UGAGUAACACGUAAGUCAUCUGCCCCUUGGUCUGGCAUAACGUCGGGAAACCGGCGCUAAUACCAGAUGAUACUGAGAAGUCAAGGGUUUCGACUGCCGAGGGAUGAGCUUGCGUCUGAUUAGCUAGUUGGCGGGGUAACGGCCUACCAAGGCGACGAUCGGUAGCUGGUCUUAGAGGAUGAUCAGCCAGACUGGGACUGAGACACGGCCCAG
This 213-nucleotide ribosomal RNA is filed under the name uncultured bacterium. Its description in RNAcentral is "partial 16S ribosomal RNA". It matches the Rfam family "Bacterial small subunit ribosomal RNA", at positions 107 to 334 of the family's 1533-position model. The record is from RNAcentral.